GACGAACGCUGGCGGCGUGCUUAACACAUGCAAGUCGAACGGAAAGGCCCUGCUUGCAGGGUACUCGAGUGGCGAACGGGUGAGUAACACGUGGGUGAUCUGCCCUGCACUUCGGGAUAAGCCUGGGAAACUGGGUCUAAUACCGGAUAUGACCUUCCAUGUAGUGUGGGGGGUGGAAAGAUUUAUCGGUGUGGGAUGAGCCCGCGGCCUAUCAGCUUGUUGGUGGGGUAAUGGCCUACCAAGGCGUCGACGGGUAGCCGGCCUGAUAGGGUGGACGGCCACAUUGGGACUGAGAUACGGCCCAGACUCCUACGGGAGGCAGCAGUGGGGAAUAUUGCACAAUGGGCGGAAGCCUUAUGCAGCGACGCCGCGUGGGGGAUGACGGCCUUCGGGUUGUAAACCUCUUUCGACAGGGACGAAGCUUCGGUGACGGUACCUGUAUAAGAAGCACCGGCUAACUACGUG
RNAcentral lists this ribosomal RNA (465 nucleotides) under uncultured bacterium. RNAcentral describes it as "partial 16S ribosomal RNA". It matches the Rfam family "Bacterial small subunit ribosomal RNA", at positions 28 to 507 of the family's 1533-position model. The record is from RNAcentral.